Molecule: long non-coding RNA, 695 nt
Organism: Amphimedon queenslandica
Lineage: Eukaryota; Metazoa; Porifera; Demospongiae; Haplosclerida; Niphatidae
Exons: 3
Source: RefSeq, a predicted model, not a curated record
CAGCAGUUAGCCCUUCUUUUCUAUACCCAGCAGCAAUCUCCCUUUCUCUUCAGUUUCUUUCUCUCUUUCUCUCUCUCUCUAAAAGGUCAUGGAGGAUUGUGACCUCUUUCUUCAAUGGCUGCUACCCCUGCUAUGGAUCCUGUGCUUUUAUGCUACCACGUGCUUUUUAAAGUUCCCGCCAUUUUUUCGGAGACCACGCCCACCCAAUGACUAGUCUAAUUAAUUGGAGGAACAAUGGAUGUGAUAGCAAGAGCUGAACUUCAAGGACAUGUUUUAAGUCGACAGGACUCGUACGUUCCCGUCAAACCAUUCAAGUCCGGAACGGUCAAAAUCUCAUGAAAGUUCAAAGGAUUCAUGGAAGAAUUCACUUGGAAAUAUCGUAGGAUGGAUUCUCAUGGAUUAAUCAGCGAGUCAAUAGUUGUAAUACUAGCUGGGCUGGCCGACCAGACCCAGCUAGUAACGCACUCAUACAAUCCUUGCAUGUCAUUAUAUGUAUGUCCUCAUUUGCAUGCGUAUAAUACCAUUAGGGAGGGGCUUGUUACACAAAACAUCGCGCGUAUGUUGUAAUGUAAAGGACCCUAUAGUGUAAGGACACUCCCCGUUCCUACCACCAUGCCUGAUAUGCUUGUUGUAGUAGUCCCGUCAUACACUAGGCAGUAUGUUUCUGGUAAUAUUUGUGAGGGAGAUGCUGUCAA